This 229-nucleotide long non-coding RNA is filed under the name Panax ginseng (ginseng). Its description in RNAcentral is "long non-coding RNA (PGIN_LNC002937)". Lineage: Eukaryota; Viridiplantae; Streptophyta; Magnoliopsida; Apiales; Araliaceae. The record is from RNAcentral.
UCAGGUACAACAAUCUGGUUAGAAUCAGUAUUCUCGAUGAGCGGUGCAUUCGAAGAAGAAUUCCCAUUUCCCAUGCUGGUCAUGAACUGCGGUUGGGUAGAAGCUGAGGCAGCCAUAUUUUCCAAUAAUCUCAACUCUGUUUGAGUGAGACAAAGAAGAAGGGUUCAAUUAGCCAGCUGAGUAUAACUCCAUGUUGGAAAAAAUUAAGAAUAAAAUGCAUAUACGUAUU